Long non-coding RNA from Peromyscus eremicus (cactus mouse), 989 nucleotides. RefSeq lists it as uncharacterized. The record is from RefSeq and is a predicted model, not a curated record. NCBI's taxonomy places the organism in Eukaryota, Metazoa, Chordata, Mammalia, Rodentia, Cricetidae. The transcript is spliced from 3 exons.
GUCAAUCACACAAUAUAAUUUAUGAAGACAUAUUUUGAUGUCCUGUCACAGGAUGAAUGGGUCAUCAGGUUCUGAUGCAAAGUGAACUGGACAAGCAGAAAGUCCCUGAGGUCUUGAGAUGCUGCUCAAGGAGACAUGUUUGUGCAGAACUUUACAUUACAGCCAUACUUGGAGAUCUUGCAUAAUCCUCUGCAUAAGCAAGAGAAGAGGAAGGAUUCAGAAAGGGGACCAGACCCAUUUUCAGUUUCCCAUGAUAUGGAUGAUGUGCACAGAAACUGUGUUCUAAAGGUUGUUUGGUUUGACGUUGAUGACAAAGCCCUUUCCAGCAUCAAUCUUCCUAUGUACAGUGGCCCUGGGGUUCUGUUUUCAUCCUUGGAAGGGCAGUGUGUACUCAUGGACCCUGAAUCUCCUUGCACUGCCCCACCCCCAAGAUUUUCUCCAGCCUUCCCUUUCAUGAAUCAGAGUUGGUUCCUCCUUUCAUGUUCACAUAUUUUAGUUCUUCAGACAUAGUUCAAAUUCUACAUUCUCUCUGAAGCAAGCCUCACCCACCCUGACUCAGGCUUUGCCUCCCUUUGAACUUCUGUCUAUUUCUCAAUACCUAGUGUAGACAUGGAAACUUACUAUGCCAUGUUGACUUAUUUAUAGCUCAAGAUGCAGACCUGACCUUGUUAUAUUUUAUUUGUUCUUUCCAUCCCUAUUUUCUCUUUCAUCUUCCCCAUAAUUACCCAACUUUAUGUGCUUCAUGCAUCUAUAACCUUAAAAUGUAUGCAUCCACUGAGUUGUAGGAUGUAAUUUGUGCCUAUAUGAGAUUUAUUUUUAAUCGCAUAAAAUCUGUUGCACAAGAGUUGUUAGUUUGUUUCUUACACAAUAGUCAACAUUAAGCCAUUAGAAAAAAAAAUAAAAAAUAUACCCAACUAUGAGUAAAGAAACCAUACUGGCAAACCAGAAACCCCAGAUUCGUUUUCAGAGCUGUGGUAGAGCCAGCGUGC